GAAAAAGCAAGGACUUCCACCAGGCACACAACAAUGAUUACAUAAAGUCCUUAGACGAGAUGUGACAUAUUCUGUAUGAAAACUAGUAACAUGUUGCUUUGUGCAAAUACUAUAAUCGACAUUCUUGGAGAUGAACAGGGAUGAGACAUCAACAGAUGGUGCUGUUUGCAGAAGAUGCGCUCAGUGAGCUGUAAGCUGCAGACACCAAAUGAGCAGCAUUGCCAAAGGUCUCCAGGCAAUAAGGAUGAGAGUGGCAGGGCCAUAAGAUGUCUAUUUAUAUCAACAGCCUACGGAAGAACAGCAGCCUUUGGUUUUGCACAUUAACACACACAACUACAGCAUAAAGCAGAUGCCAGCAUACUUGUAUUGAUCAAAACUAAGCUUGAGGAUGAGAUGGAAAUGUACCUUAACACUGUCCUGUUAAGGAGAGAAGAAGUCACAGGGUGCUCAGGCUGAUCUGUUCAAAUAUAUAUGCUAUAGUUAUGAGUCCAGCAGUUGCAUUACCAUAUGUCAGAAGGCUGGUCUGCUGAUGUACAGGUACAGAAAAUGGUUAAAAAAGAGCAUUGAGUAUGCUUGAUUCUGAAUAAUUGUUGUUGUAUAGGUUUUGUUUUGAAUAGCAGUUCCCACUUUGUAGUCACCUGUUCUUAUGUGGUGUCACAUGGUGCUGUAGGCAGGCAUAAGACAAAUAAAAGCAUAAUAAAAUGGUU
Long non-coding RNA from Monopterus albus (swamp eel), 707 nucleotides. RefSeq lists it as uncharacterized. NCBI's taxonomy places the organism in Eukaryota, Metazoa, Chordata, Actinopteri, Synbranchiformes, Synbranchidae. The record is from RefSeq and is a predicted model, not a curated record. The transcript has 3 exons.